Molecule: ribosomal RNA, 253 nt
Filed under: uncultured bacterium
Lineage: Bacteria
Description: partial 16S ribosomal RNA
Rfam family: Bacterial small subunit ribosomal RNA
Source: RNAcentral
UACAGAGGGUGCAAGCGUUAAUCAGAAUUACUGGGCGUAAAGGGCGCGUAGGUGGUUGAUUAAGUGAGAUGUGAAAUCCCUGGGCUUAACCUAGGAACUGCAUCUUAAACUGAUAGACUAGAGUACGGUAGAGGGUAGUGGAAUUUCCGGUGUAGCGGUGAAAUGCGUAGAUAUCGGAAGGAACACCAGUGGCGAAGGCGGCUACCUGGACUGAUACUGACACUGAGGCGCGAAAGCGUGGGUAGCAAACAGG